CCUAUCCUACGGGAGGCAGCAGUGAGGAAUAUUGGUCAAUGGGCGGAAGCCUGAACCAGCCAAGUCGCGUGAGGGAAUAAGGCCCUACGGGUCGUAAACCUCUUUUGCCGGGGAGCAAGGGCGGGGACGUGUCCCGGCCCGGAGAGUACCCGGAGAAAAAGCAUCGGCUAACUCCGUGCCAGAAGCCGCGGUAAUACGGAGGAUGCGAGCGUUAUCCGGAUUUAUUGGGUUUAAAGGGUGCGCAGGCGGCCUGUUAAGUCAGCGGUAAAAGCCCGGGGCUCAACCCCGGCGAGUCGUUGAAACUG
RNAcentral lists this ribosomal RNA (305 nucleotides) under uncultured bacterium. RNAcentral's name for it is "bacterial SSU rRNA". It matches the Rfam family "Bacterial small subunit ribosomal RNA", at positions 333 to 635 of the family's 1533-position model. The record is from RNAcentral.